This 2938-nucleotide ribosomal RNA is filed under the name Sporolactobacillus sp. THM19-2. Its description in RNAcentral is "23S ribosomal RNA". It matches the Rfam family "Bacterial large subunit ribosomal RNA". Lineage: Bacteria; Bacillati; Bacillota; Bacilli; Caryophanales; Sporolactobacillaceae. The record is from RNAcentral.
UCGGUGGUUAAGUUUUAAAGGGCACACGGUGGAUGCCUUGGCACUGGGAGCCGAUGAAGGACGGAACGAACUCCGAUAAGCUCCGGGGAGCUGUAAGUGGGCUUUGAUCCGGAGAUUUCCGAAUGGGGAAACCCCCUGUCCUGACGGACAGGAUGACGCACUGAAUUCAUAGGGGCGUCAAGGCAGACCCGGGGAACUGAAACAUCUCAGUACCCGGAGGAAGAGAAAGCAAAUGCGAUUUCCCGAGUAGUGGCGAGCGAAAAGGAAACAGCCCAAACCAGGGGGCUUGCCCCCUGGGGUUGUAGGACACUCCGCAUGGAGUCAGAAAAGCGCGUUUCAGGCGAACGGCCUGGAAGGGCCGGCCGAAGAAGGCAAACGCCCUGUAGCCGAAGAGGCGCGCUCUCCGGAGUGGAUCCUGAGUACGGCGGGACACGAGAAACCCCGUCGGAAGCCGGGAGGACCGUCUCCCAAGGCUAAAUACUCCCCAGUGACCGAUAGUGAACCAGUACCGUGAGGGAAAGGUGAAAAGCACCCCGGAAGGGGAGUGAAAGAGAUCCUGAAACCGUGUGCCUGCAAGUAGUUGGAGCCCCUUCGGGGGUGACAGCGUACCUUUUGUAGAAUGGACCGGCGAGUGGCGAUUCUGAGCAAGGUUAAGCCGGAGAGGCGGAGCCGCAGCGAAAGCGAGUCUGAAGAGGGCGAAUGAGUUCAGGGUUGCCGACCCGAAACCGUGUGAUCUACCCAUGUCCAGGGUGAAGUCCAGGUAACACUGGAUGGAGGCCCGAACCCACGCAUGUUGAAAAAUGCGGGGAUGAGGUGUGGGUAGGGGUGAAAUGCCAAUCGAACACGGAGAUAGCUGGUUCUCCCCGAAAUAGCUUUAGGGCUAGCCUCGGAGAAAGAGGUCUGGAGGUAGAGCACUGAUUGAAUAAGGGGUCCCCACAGGAUUACCGAGUUCAGUCAAACUCCGAAUGCCAGACGCUCAGGCUCCGGGAGUCAGACGGCGAGUGAUAAGAUCCGUCGUCGAAAGGGAAACAGCCCGGACCGCCGGCUAAGGUCCCUAAGUUUGCGCUGAGUGGGAAAGGAUGUGGCGUUGCCCAGACAACCAGGAUGUUGGCUCAGAAGCAGCCACCAUUUAAAGAGUGCGUAAUAGCUCACUGGUCGAGUGGCGCCGCGCCGAAAAUGUAACGGGGCUAAGCGCAGCACCGAAGCCGCGGAUGACUCUUUCAGAGUCAUGGUAGGGGAGCGUUCCAGAGGCCGGGAAGGUCUGCCGGAAGGCAGGCUGGAGCGUCUGGAAGUGAGAAUGCCGGUAUGAGUAACGAAAAGAGGAGUGAGAAUCUCCUCCGUCGAAAGCCCGAGGGUUCCUGGGGAAGGUUCGUCCGCCCAGGGUCAGUCGGGGCCUAAGCCGAGGCCGAAAGGCGUAGGCGAUGGACAACAGGUGGAUAUUCCUGUACCGCUGGAACACGUUUGAGUGAAGGGGGGACGCAGGAAGGCGAGGUCAGCGCACGGAUGGAAGCGUGCGUUCAAGCCGCGAGGCCGGCAGCGAGGCAAAUCCCGCUGCCUGAGGCCGGACGGUGAUGAGGAGGGAAAUUUAAGUACCGAAGGGCCACAACCUACACUGCCUAGAAAAGCCUCUGGCGAGUGAACCAGCGCCCGUACCCAAACCGACACAGGUGGGCAAGAAGAGAAUUCUGAGACGCUCGGGAGAACUCUCGUUAAGGAACUCGGCAAAAUCACCCCGUAACUUCGGGAGAAGGGGUGCUCAAAGGGCCUUCGGGCCCUCUGAGCCGCAGUGAAAAGAUCCAAGCGACUGUUUACCAAAAACACAGGUUUCUGCUAAACCGAAAGGUGAUGUAUAGGGGCUGACACCUGCCCGGUGCUGGAAGGUUAAGAGGAGAGGUCAUCCCUUCGGGGAGAAGCUUUGAACCGAAGCCCCAGUAAACGGCGGCCGUAACUAUAACGGUCCUAAGGUAGCGAAAUUCCUUGUCGGGUAAGUUCCGACCCGCACGAAAGGUGUAACGAUUUGGAUACUGUCUCAACGAGAGACCCGGUGAAAUUAUAGUACCUGUGAAGAUGCAGGUUACCCGCGACAGGACGGAAAGACCCCAUGGAGCUUUACUGCAGCCUGAUAUUGGAUGUGGGUAUCGAUUGUACAGGAUAGGCAGGAGCCUUUGACGCCGGACCGCCAGGUUCGGCUGAGGCGCCGGUGGGAUACUGCCCUUUCGAUACCGACAUUCUAACCCGGGACCGUGAUCCGGUCCGGAGACAGUGUCAGGCAGGCAGUUUGACUGGGGCGGUCGCCUCCCAAAAGGUAACGGAGGCGCCCAAAGGUUCCCUCAGAAUGGUUGGAAAUCAUUCGCAGAGUGUAAAGGCACAAGGGAGCUUGACUGCGAGACCCACAAGUCGAGCAGGGACGAAAGUCGGGCUUAGUGAUCCGGUGGCACCGCAUGGAAGGGCCAUCGCUCAACGGAUAAAAGCUACCCUGGGGAUAACAGGCUUAUCUCCCCCAAGAGUUCACAUCGACGGGGAGGUUUGGCACCUCGAUGUCGGCUCAUCGCAUCCUGGGGCUGAAGUAGGUCCCAAGGGUUGGGCUGUUCGCCCAUUAAAGCGGUACGCGAGCUGGGUUCAGAACGUCGUGAGACAGUUCGGUCCCUAUCCGUCGCGGGCGCAGGAAAUUUGAGGAGAGCUGUCCUUAGUACGAGAGGACCGGGAUGGACACACCGCUGGUGUACCAGUUGUUCCGCCAGGAGCAGACGCUGGGUAGCUAUGUGUGGACGGGAUAAGUGCUGAAAGCAUCUAAGCAUGAAGCCCCCUCCAAGAUGAGAUUUCCCACAGCUUUAAGCUGGUAAGGCCCCUCAGAGAUGAUGAGGUGGAUAGGUCUGGAGUGGAAGCGCGGUGACGCGUGAAGCGGACAGAUACUAAUCGGCCGAGGGCUUAACCCAAA